Molecule: ribosomal RNA, 549 nt
Filed under: uncultured bacterium
Lineage: Bacteria
Description: bacterial SSU rRNA
Rfam family: Bacterial small subunit ribosomal RNA
Source: RNAcentral
UGGGGAAUAUUGGACAAUGGGCGAAAGCCUGAUCCAGCCAUGCCGCGUGUGUGAAGAAGGCCUUUUGGUUGUAAAGCACUUUAAGUGGGGAGGAAAAGCUUAUGGUUAAUAUCCAUAAGCCCUGACGUUACCCACAGAAUAAGCACCGGCUAACUCUGUGCCAGCAGCCGCGGUAAUACAGAGGGUGCAAGCGUUAAUCGGAAUUACUGGGCGUAAAGCGCGCGUAGGUGGUUAUUUAAGUCAGAUGUGAAAGCCCCGGGCUUAACCUGGGAACUGCAUCUGAUACUGGAUAACUAGAGUAGGUGAGAGGGGAGUAGAAUUCCAGGUGUAGCGGUGAAAUGCGUAGAGAUCUGGAGGAAUACCGAUGGCGAAGGCAGCUCCCUGGCAUCAUACUGACACUGAGGUGCGAAAGCGUGGGUAGCAAACAGGAUUAGAUACCCUGGUAGUCCACGCCGUAAACGAUGUCUACCAGUCGUUGGGUCUUUUAAAGACUUAGUGACGCAGUUAACGCAAUAAGUAGACCGCCUGGGGAGUACGGCCGCAAGGUUA